GACGAACGCUGGCGGCGUGCUUAACACAUGCAAGUCGAACGGAAAGGCCCUGCUUUUGUGGGGUGCUCGAGUGGCGAACGGGUGAGUAACACGUGAGUAACCUGCCCUUGACUUUGGGAUAACUUCAGGAAACUGGGGCUAAUACCGGAUAGGCGCUCCUGCUGCAUGGUGGGGGUUGGAAAGUUUCGGCGGUUGGGGAUGGACUCGCGGCUUAUCAGCUUGUUGGUGGGGUAGUGGCUUACCAAGGCUUUGACGGGUAGCCGGCCUGAGAGGGUGACCGGCCACAUUAGGACUGAGAUACGGCCCAGACUCCUACGGGAGGCAGCAGUGGGGAAUAUUGCACAGUGGGCGGAAGCCUGAUGCAGCAACGCCGGGUGCGGGAUGACGGCCUUGGGGUUGUAAACCGCUUUCGCCUGUGGCGAAGCGUGAGUGACGGUAAUGGGUAAAGAAGCACCGGCUAACUACGUG
This 468-nucleotide ribosomal RNA is filed under the name uncultured bacterium. Its description in RNAcentral is "partial 16S ribosomal RNA". It matches the Rfam family "Bacterial small subunit ribosomal RNA", at positions 28 to 507 of the family's 1533-position model. The record is from RNAcentral.